GAUGAACGCUGGCGGCGUGCCUAAUACAUGCAAGUCGAGCGAACGGACUAGAAGCUUGCUUCUCUGAUGUUAGCGGCGGACGGGUGAGUAACACGUGGAUAACCUACCUAUAAGACUGGGAUAACUUCGGGAAACCGUAGCUAAUACCGGAUAAUAUUUUGAACCGCAUGGUUCAAAAGUGAAAGACGGUCUUGCUGUCACUUAUAGAUGGAUCCGCGCUGCAUUAGCUAGUUGGUAAGGUAACGGCCUACCAAGGCAACGAUGCAUAGCCGACCUGAGAGGGUGAUCGGCCACACUGGAACUGAGACACGGUCCAGACUCCUACGGGAGGCAGCAGUAGGGAAUCUUCCGCAAUGGGCGAAAGCCUGACGGAGCAACGCCGCGUGAGUGAUGAAGGUCUUCGGAUCGUAAAACUCUGUUAUUAGGGAAGAACAUAUGUGUAAGUAACUGUGCACAUCUUGACGGUACCUAAUCAGAAAGCCACGGCUAACUACGUG
Molecule: ribosomal RNA, 497 nt
Filed under: uncultured bacterium
Lineage: Bacteria
Description: partial 16S ribosomal RNA
Rfam family: Bacterial small subunit ribosomal RNA
Source: RNAcentral